Phyllopteryx taeniolatus (common seadragon) is the source of this 601-nucleotide RNA transcript. It is a transcript of the gene named cytochrome c oxidase copper chaperone, with no coding region annotated. The record is from RefSeq and is a predicted model, not a curated record. NCBI's taxonomy places the organism in Eukaryota, Metazoa, Chordata, Actinopteri, Syngnathiformes, Syngnathidae. The transcript is spliced from 5 exons.
UGCCACUGGUCUAUGUUUCACGUCACGAAGAGCCGGUUCCUUCUUGUUCUUCUGUGAAGGUGACAGCGUUAAGCAGCACUAACCUCCAUACUGUCUACUGCAAAGUUACGUCCGAGACCAUAAAAAUGUCGACCGUGUCUGCUGCCGCCGCGGAGCCUGCCGACAUCACUGAGAGUGGCGAGCAGAAGAAGCCGCUCAGGGCUUGCUGCGCUUGUCCUGAAACCAAGAAAGUCCGAGAUGCAUGCAUAAUUGAAAAGGGUGAAGAGAACUGCACAGAACUCAUUGAGGCUCACAAAGACUGCAUGAGGCAACUAGGAUUCAAGAUUUAACUGCUUUGCUAUUGUGUGCGUGCGUGUGGGUACGCACCGGAACUUGGAAUUUUGGCACGAAAAGUAACUUCACACGACACAGGUGAAUUUUGAAAACGAAAGUAAUGGAACUAAACGCUAUAAAACGUUGAUUCCUUUACCUACCCACCGUUGAGACACAAGCAAAACAGAUGACGACGACGACCCAGGAAGUUUUGUCCUUCCCCAUUUAUUUUUUUUGUGUGAUGACCACUGCAGUUGGAAUUUGAAUAAAAAAGUUCUAUGCAAACAUC